AUAUAUAUAUAUAUAUAUAUAUAUAUAUUAAUUAAAGGGGCAAUUGCUUAUAUACCCAUAAAAAUUUUUCGAUUUUCUGAUUUAUUCCUUUAACAAGGCUAAUAUUGUAAAUAUAUUUUUUACGUUCCAACUAUUUUAAAUAUACCCCUAAAAUUAAAUUCCGUUAAUAAACUAUUAACAAUAGCUAUUAUUUGUACGAAAUUACUAUUAUGCCCUUUCAAAUAUACCCUUCCACCAUUAUUGACUUUUUUUAUUUGUCCUUAAGUUAGGGUACAAAAAUUAUUUUGAUUUUUGAUCUUUUCAAAUAUACCUUUCUACCAUCACCAACAUUUCUUAUUUGCCCUUAAGUUAAAGAUAAAAGAGGCAUUUUGAUUUUUUUUUAACUCUAAUGGAUAUUUAAUUCAGGUUUAACCCAAGUUAAUUUAACGGAUGGUAACUGUAAGGAUAUUUUGGAAUAACGGAAGAAUAUAUGAAGGGUAUAUUGAAAAAAAAAAGAAGAUAUUUAUGAAGUUUUGAGAGAUAUAUAUGCAAUUAUCCUUUAAUAUAAAUGUCAAACAAAACUUGUUUCAAUUCUC
Molecule: long non-coding RNA, 575 nt
Filed under: Ananas comosus (pineapple)
Lineage: Eukaryota; Viridiplantae; Streptophyta; Magnoliopsida; Poales; Bromeliaceae
Description: long non-coding RNA (ACOM_LNC025073)
Source: RNAcentral